Molecule: long non-coding RNA, 1573 nt
Organism: Cephus cinctus (wheat stem sawfly)
Lineage: Eukaryota; Metazoa; Arthropoda; Insecta; Hymenoptera; Cephidae
Exons: 3
Source: RefSeq, a predicted model, not a curated record
CUCAGCUCUACCGUUGUGCCAGAAGGAGCCAUUCCUAGUGUCCUUCGUUGUACCGUGGGAUACAGAUAUUUAUGGCUGUUUCUACUUCUGGGAUGUUUUGCCGUGGAAACAGUGGGCCAGGAUACGUUGCACAGAUUAGGGAUCAGGAAGCAGCUUUAAUGAUACUGAGUCCUGACAAGUGGCUUUCUUCUGACACUAAUUGAUGCUCAGAGUUGAUACGUUAGACGACUGUAACAGAGAUGUCGGCCAAAGUGACUCAACGGAAUUUAAUAAAAAAGCCAUUUGAAGGGGAAAAAAAAGGUAGAUGCCGAGUAAAGUUUUCAGAAUGGAUAUUUCGCAUGCGAAACGUAAUCGUGGCAAUAAAACUUUUCUUGCCUGCUGAGAGUGAAGACACUUCUGUUCCCUGGUAAGAUUAUACGAUCGCGUCGUGAAAAUAGAGAAAAAUGAAAGAGAUUGACAAGAGGCAGAGUCUGCGUGAGAGUCGAAUGUUGAGUUGAAAUUUGCGUCUUAAAAUCCACCUGUAUUGACGUUGCGUUAUCGUGAAAGCAGGGAAAGGGAGAGAAACGCGAAUAAAUGGAAAAUGGUAAAUGGGGUGCACAGAGGAAAAUGGAAAAUGAGAAAUAAAAUAUGAACGACAACGUGACGUUUGUGUAUAACGAAUACGUUAAAUCCUGAUGUUGCAUUAUCUUCGAGAUAUCUCGUUGUCUCAAUCGAAAUUUUAAAGUCGACUUUAUGCCUACUGAAAGCUUUAUUUUCUACGUGAAAACCAAGUGACGCAAUAAUUUUUCUUUUUUUUACAGAAAUACAGACUGUAUAUCAAAACAAUUUUUUUUACAUAGUACAAACUGUUACGUCAUAAUUUCCUUCUGUUCUUGCGAAUUGCAUCUGUUAUCACUGUCGUAUACAACGUCGGUUUGUGCUUAUCAUUGAUACUGGUUUAUGGAGUAACUUCAGUUGCUCGUUGCCAUUUAUAAAAUGGAAAAUAAAUGAAAAUCCUUAUCAAAUAUAAGAAAAAUCUAUUAAAUAAAUCAUUUCAUAACAAUUAAUAAUUUCAUAUUUUUUUUUUAUUUUACUCGUGCAUCCUGUCUUGUCAUUCGAACGCGACUGAAUAUAUCUGUCUAACUGACUGUCAGUAUAGGCGUGUGAAAGAAACCUUAAGGCUAGUUCAUAACUUCUACCUAGUACCCCACUGAUACGACAGGCCAGACAGGUUAGUCGCUUUCUCUAGCUUUUCUAGCCUGAUCCGCAGCAGGGCUGACCCACGCUAAGCGUAACAGUUUACCGAUAGCACAUCAAUUCAAUUCAGCGUUCGAUUAGAUAGUCGCUAUUGACAAAACUACCGAAACCAAAGGGAGCGUUCGUGCUGCAGCGACUAUUAUUUUUUAUCCUAUAGAAAUACCAGUCUACAUCCUAGAAUAGAAAAGCGAUCGGAGCCAUCCCCAAAAUUGUCUUCUUGUUAAAUUGUAACACUGACCCCAAGUGUAUACAGACACGUGACAGGUCCAAAAAGAAAAACUCCACUGUGCUGUAAUUGGUAUAAAAUACAAUUAAAAAAAAAAGUGCACGUUAAAAU